RNAcentral lists this long non-coding RNA (322 nucleotides) under Mytilus galloprovincialis (Mediterranean mussel). Lineage: Eukaryota; Metazoa; Mollusca; Bivalvia; Mytilida; Mytilidae. The record is from RNAcentral.
CUCGGGCUUUUACUUAUUCAAUAAUAAACAGUUGUAAAUAUCGUACAUAGUAAAAAAUAGUGCGGGAAAAUGUUCAUUCAUGAAAUAUUCAUGAAUGAAACGCUGUCUGGCGUAGUAUUCUGUUUGAUUUUCUCUUCAGCCAAUGGCCGAUCCGCAAAGUAGUGUUUGUGAUACUUAUUUUCAAAAUGAAGUUAAAUUCAUCUGAAUUGUUGUUGAACAAUCAUUCCUUUUUUUUUUUUAUUAAAGCUGUAAUCUUUUCAAAAUAGUAGCAACUCAAAAUAUCCAAGAAUAAGAAGUCAAACACUAGUAUACUGUACUACAU